AGGGAGUUGAGUUUGGACAAUAGCUUCGCCAAUCCGGUCAGAUCUGAAAAGAAGCAGCCGUAACGAUUGUUGUUGGGUCAAUCCUCAGCUCCUUNUG
Molecule: signal recognition particle RNA, 97 nt
Filed under: Alphaproteobacteria bacterium
Lineage: Bacteria; Pseudomonadati; Pseudomonadota; Alphaproteobacteria
Description: signal recognition particle sRNA small type
Rfam family: Bacterial small signal recognition particle RNA
About the family: The signal recognition particle (SRP) is a universally conserved ribonucleoprotein involved in the co-translational targeting of proteins to membranes. Archaeal SRP consists of a 7S RNA and homologues of the eukaryotic SRP19 and SRP54 proteins. In most bacteria, the SRP consists of a 4.5S RNA and the Ffh protein (a homologue of the eukaryotic SRP54 protein).
Source: RNAcentral